AACGAACGCUGGCGGUAUGCUUAACACAUGCAAGUCGAACGAAUGAGGAAUCUAGCUUGCUAGAUUCUAAGUUAGUGGCAAACGGGUGAGUAACACGUGGGAAUCUACCCAGUAGUACAGAAUAACAGCUAGAAAUGGCUGCUAAUACUGUAUAGUAUCGAGAGAUUAAAGAUUUAUCGCUACUGGAUGAGCCCGCGUCAGAUUAGGUAGUUGGUGGGGUAAUGGCCUACCAAGCCCAAGAUCUGUAGCUGGUCUGAGAGGAUGACCAGCCACACUGGAACUGAGACACGGUCCAGACUCCUACGGGAGGCAGCAGUGAGGAAUAUUGGACAAUGGGCGAAAGCCUGAUCCAGCAAUACCGCGUGAGUGAAGAAGGCCU
This 379-nucleotide ribosomal RNA is filed under the name uncultured bacterium. RNAcentral's name for it is "bacterial SSU rRNA". It matches the Rfam family "Bacterial small subunit ribosomal RNA", at positions 29 to 417 of the family's 1533-position model. The record is from RNAcentral.